AAUCUUGAGCACCGCCGAGGAGUGGAAAGAAACCCCCAAAUCGCAUCGCCUCCUCCUCCCACGCCAGCCGGAAUCCUCCUCCGCAGCCGCCUACGGUACCUCAGUCGAGCUCCUUCUUCCCCACUCCGGGCGAAAUUUCUCUCUCCGUGAACUCGUAAGAGGUCGGCGUUUGCGGGCGCGGGGGAUACGCCGGAGUCAGAGCAUCCGCGGCGACCGGAGACCAAGGAGGAGGAAGGCGAGGAAGGUGCGGGCGCGUUGAAGGCGAAUUCGCCAUCCUUCCGGCGCCGUGAGGUGACCUGCGCGCGGCGGAGCUGGGCGUCCACUCAGCCACUCAGGUACCAUAGUUUAAGGGCAGAUGCACGUUGGUUACUGAAGAGACCUGAAACCUCUCUUAGAAAAGAAAUAGGACAACUUCUUUGUUUCAAGAGGAGCAACUUGAAUCUGAAACUGUUCCUUUUGACCCGUGCUUCAAGGUUGAGUAGCGGCGGCUCUGGCAGCGAUGGACAGAACAAGCAGUGGAGGUGUCAGAGGGGAAGGCGAGAAGAAGGCGGCUGCAGCAUGCGACGUGGAGGCGCUGCGCAAGUGCCUGCAGGAGAACAAGGGUGAUCGUGUCAAGUGCCAGGCUCACAUCGAUGCCUUCCGAUCCUCAUGUUCUGUCAGCCCCACCACUACCUCCGAUGGCCAUCCUGCUGUAAAAAAGGGGAUGUGAAACACAAUGGUUCUGUUGCUGGUGUAGUUUUACAAGAAACUGCAUGGAAUACGUAUGAUGAAUAAGGUGACGACUCAAAUGCAACAUAUGUGGAUGGUCAUGUGAAAGAGGAUAAUUAGAACUAGGGUAUGUUUGAUUUGUAGCCAACAUGUACCUUAUCAAUUUUUUUGGCUGUGACCAAAACUUUGGUCAUGGUUUGGAUGGUUGUUAACUUUUUGGCAUGCCAAUGGCUUCAUACCACGCUAGUUCA
Triticum dicoccoides is the source of this 959-nucleotide long non-coding RNA. RefSeq lists it as uncharacterized. The record is from RefSeq and is a predicted model, not a curated record. The transcript is spliced from 4 exons. NCBI's taxonomy places the organism in Eukaryota, Viridiplantae, Streptophyta, Magnoliopsida, Poales, Poaceae.